This 501-nucleotide ribosomal RNA is filed under the name uncultured bacterium. RNAcentral's name for it is "partial 16S ribosomal RNA". It matches the Rfam family "Bacterial small subunit ribosomal RNA", at positions 30 to 523 of the family's 1533-position model. The record is from RNAcentral.
AUUGAACGCUGGCGGCAGGCUUAACACAUGCAAGUCGAGCGGAGAGAGGUAGCUUGCUACUGAUCUUAGCGGCGGACGGGUGAGUAAUGCUUAGGAAUCUGCCUAUUAGUGGGGGACAACAUUUCGAAAGGAAUGCUAAUACCGCAUACGUCCUACGGGAGAAAGCAGGGGAUCUUCGGACCUUGCGCUAAUAGAUGAGCCUAAGUCGGAUUAGCUAGUUGGUGGGGUAAAGGCCUACCAAGGCGACGAUCUGUAGCGGGUCUGAGAGGAUGAUCCGCCGCACUGGGACUGAGACACGGCCCAGACUCCUACGGGAGGCAGCAGUGGGGAAUAUUGGACAAUGGGCGGAAGCCUGAUCCAGCCAUGCCGCGUGUGUGAAGAAGGCCUUAUGGUUGUAAAGCACUUUAAGCGAGGAGGAGGCUACUUUAGUUAAUACCUAGAGAUAGUGGACGUUACUCGCAGAAUAAGCACCGGCUAACUCUGUGCCAGCAGCCGCAGUAA